CAAAUUACCUACUUCGGGACUUUGGGCAGAACAAAGGAACCCUAAGUCUUCAAGAGCUUAAAACACACACACACAAACACACACACACACACACACACACACACUUUGUGUUCCCCCCUUUCCCCGGAUUCCUCCAACCUCUCCCCUAAUAAUGCGACACCAGAAGGUGAACAAGAGGCAGCCCCGAUAUUUUACAGAUCCAGGGCGGUCGGAAUUCCAAAGGGGACGAGGAGAGAAAAACCCUCCUCUAGCUCGGGCUCCUGCUCCCCUCCCCACGUCGCCCUCUAAUUACCUCUCCGGAGUUCUCGGCCUCUUCUUCAGGCUCCCAAUGGGAGCAUGAUGGGGGGCCCCUUCUCCCCAAGACGCUGCUCCCCCUCUAGCCCCCGCGGGGUCUUUUCUCUCGGUGAGGGCGGAUGUGAAUGGGGAUGCGGGGGCGGCCUCUCGCAAGAGGAAGAGGAGACUGGCGGCUUCUGGGGUAGAAAGGGGGUGUCGCAGGCCGGUUUCCUGGUCUCAAGUUUUGACACGAGUUUCCCAGCCGCCCCAACAAAGAUCCCCCGAGGAAAAGGGGAAGGCCAAAAAAAAAAAAGUUUUCUCUCGUGACACCGCCCGGAAUUACUGCAUGAAACUCACUUCCUGCCCGGGCACAGAAGCUGAAUCCAGGUCCACGCACGGGAACCCGGAAAACCAGCUCGACCAAAGCCGGGGAGCAGAAGGCGGGCGGGGGGGGGGAGGUGUCUGUCUCUCCCGCCGCCGAGGACCGUCCGAGCCCCGGCCACAGAGAUGGACGAUCGGAAUCCAGUCGCGCGAAGCUGCCGAGUGCGCUCGCGGUGCGACCAAGCCGACGACGCACCCCACUGCGGGCUCCUCCCGGUCCGGCGAGCGCGGCUACACCGCGCCCCUUCCUCUGCCGCCGCGGCCCUCGCUAGGCCAGCUCCCGCAGCCGCAGCCGCAGCCGCAGCCGCCGCCGGGGUUAUUGUCUCGACCGCGCCUGCCGCGCCCUUCGCCCGCGCCGCCACCGCCACCGCCACCGGGGUCCCGAGUCCUGGGAGAAAGAGGGAGGGGGCAGGCACGCGGGCCGGCCCCCGCCCCCGGCCGUCAGUCCGCCCGGCCCGGGUCUCCGUCCCCUCCUCCUCCCCACCCCCUGCCCUCGCCUAGGGCUCGCGGCUUCCCGCCCGUGCCCCGCUCCCGCAGCCCCGGACCGCUGUGGCGGAGGAGGAGGCUCCGCGAUUGCGGACGGGGUGCGAGGCAGAGCGCAGAGGGAGAGAGACGGACGCCGCCGCCGAGGGAUGCAAAGGUGAGGUGGGAAGGAGCAGAAGACAACAAGAAUGAAGAGGCCAGCCUGAGCCUGAGAGUCUGACCAUACAUGGAGGAUGACAAUGUCAAGUCAAGCAGUGAGCCCUCCCUCACUUAAAUCCAAUUCACUUGCUAGUCAUGGCAUCAACUUCCUGAUGUCAUGAUCCUCUUUGAGAACAAAAGACAAACAGCAACAGCAACCAGAAGAGGUAAAGUACAGGUGGACUGAGACCAGACUAGGGCACUGAGAUUAGCUUGAGUAUAUGGGAAUCAUUGAGAUAUGUGAACUUGGUCCACAACACCUUUCUUCCCUGCUUCAUCCCAGGAUCUUGGGGUGGGG
Molecule: long non-coding RNA, 1633 nt
Organism: Phascolarctos cinereus (koala)
Lineage: Eukaryota; Metazoa; Chordata; Mammalia; Diprotodontia; Phascolarctidae
Source: Ensembl